AACGAACGCUGGCGGCAUGCCUAACACAUGCAAGUCGAACGACACCACCGUGACUAGUUGCGCACGGGUGCGUCACGCGGCGGAACGUGGCCUUAGGCUCGGAAUAACACUCCGAAAGGGGUGCUAAUACCGGAUAACGUAUUCGGACCCAAGAUUUAUCCUCUUUGGAUGGGCCCGCGUUGCUUUAGCCAGUUGGUAGGGUAAAAGCCUACCAGGGCGACGAUCCAUAGCUGGUCAGAGAGAAUGAUCCGCCACACUGAGGCUAGGACACGGUCGAGACUCCUACGGGAGGGAGGCGUGCGGGAUACAGGACAAUCGGCGGAAGGCUGAUCGAGCUAGGGCGCGUGAGUGAUGAAGGCCUUAGGGUUAUAAAGCUCUUUUACCCGGGAUGAUAAUGACAGUACCGGAAGAAUAAGCUCCGGCUAACUCCGUG
Molecule: ribosomal RNA, 433 nt
Filed under: uncultured bacterium
Lineage: Bacteria
Description: partial 16S ribosomal RNA
Rfam family: Bacterial small subunit ribosomal RNA
Source: RNAcentral